GCAAGUCGAGGGGUAGCAGGAUUUAGUUUACUAGAUUGCUGACGACCGGCGCACGGGUGCGUAACGCGUAUGCAACCUGCCUCUUACUGGGAGAUAGCCCGGAGAAAUCCGGAUUAAUACCCCAUAGUAUCCAAGAUUCGCAUGUUUUUUGGAUUAAAGUUUCGACGGUAAGAGAUGGGCAUGCGUGACAUUAGUUUGUUGGUGAGGUAACGGCUCACCAAGACUACGAUGUCUAGGGGGUCUGAGAGGAUGAUC
RNAcentral lists this ribosomal RNA (255 nucleotides) under uncultured bacterium. Its description in RNAcentral is "partial 16S ribosomal RNA". It matches the Rfam family "Bacterial small subunit ribosomal RNA", at positions 57 to 305 of the family's 1533-position model. The record is from RNAcentral.